Molecule: ribosomal RNA, 523 nt
Filed under: uncultured soil bacterium
Lineage: Bacteria
Description: bacterial SSU rRNA
Rfam family: Bacterial small subunit ribosomal RNA
Source: RNAcentral
CUAGAAUGCCUCUGACCGGCGUAGAGAUACGCUUUCCUGGGUAAAACCAGGCAGAAUGCAAGGUGCUGCAUGGCUGUCGUCAGCUCGUGUCGUGAGAUGUUGGGUUAAGUCCCGCAACGAGCGCAACCCUUAUCAAUAGUUGCCAGCGGUUCGGCCGGGCACUCUAUUGAGACUGCCGUUGACAAAACGGAGGAAGGUGGGGAUGACGUCAAGUCCUCAUGGCCCUUACGGGCUGGGCUACACACGUGCUACAAUGGCGGUGACAAUGGGCAGCGAAGGGGCGACCCCGAGCUAAUCUCAAAAAGCCGUCUCAGUUCGGAUUGCACUCUGCAACUCGAGUGCAUGAAGUUGGAAUCGCUAGUAAUCGUGGAUCAGCACGCCACGGUGAAUACGUUCCCGGGCCUUGUACACACCGCCCGUCACACCAUGGGAGUUGGUUUUACCCGAAGAUGGUGCGCUAACCCGCAAGGGAGGCAGCCAGCCACGGUAGGAUCAGCGACUGGGGUGAAGUCGUAACAAGGUA